RNAcentral lists this ribosomal RNA (207 nucleotides) under uncultured bacterium. RNAcentral's name for it is "partial 16S ribosomal RNA". It matches the Rfam family "Bacterial small subunit ribosomal RNA", at positions 568 to 774 of the family's 1533-position model. The record is from RNAcentral.
UGCGUAGGCUGUGCAGUUAGUUGGGUGUGAAAUCCCUCGGCUCAACCGAGGAACUGCGCCCAAUACUGCUGUACUAGAGGAAGAUAGGGGUAAGCGGAACUGAUGGUGGAGCGGUGAAAUGCGUUGAUAUCAUCAGGAACACCGGUGGCGAAGGCGGCUUACUGGAUCUUUUCUGACGCUGAUGCACGAAAGCUAGGGUAGCGAACG